Monodelphis domestica (gray short-tailed opossum) is the source of this 2961-nucleotide long non-coding RNA. RefSeq lists it as uncharacterized. The record is from RefSeq and is a predicted model, not a curated record. Lineage: Eukaryota; Metazoa; Chordata; Mammalia; Didelphimorphia; Didelphidae.
GGGGGCGGGGCCAGAGCCUCAAGUGGGCGGGAGAAAAGCGGACACAUGUCUCAGGGGAGGGGCCUAUGUGAAAAAGCAGUUUGAGACAGAGAACCAGGAAAAGCCAGGGAAUCUAGCCUGAGGUUUCUCCAUGUGGAACUCCUCAUAUUCCUCUGGUACCUAACGAGAACUUUACUUUAAAACAUCACCCAUAUCAUUUUAUCAUCUUACAUUUGGGGAUGUAUACUCUAUGCAGCCUCUGAAGCUGAGAUGCGCCCAGUAUGGAUGAAUUCUCUGCUUUAUGUUAAUUUUAGCCUGACAACACCAAGAAAGAGUUCUUCGCCAGCCAGCCACUAUUGUCCAAAGGUGGAAGCAUCAAUUGCAGGAAAUAGAGAAAAUUUGAAAGGCAGUCCCCAGUCAGAUGACCAGACCCCUGAAUUCUCUCAAUAAACUUCUGAAAUUCCUUGCCUUUUUACUCUACCGUCUCACCACUUAGUCCCUUUUAACAACAAACUUGGCUUAAAGACACAGCUGCUAGAACACGAGUUACAGCACAAACUACGUGAACUUCAUGAAUCCGGAGCUGCAGUACAAGCCGGACCAUUAGACUUUUCUCUGCAUGACCUGAACCCAGGAGAUAAAGUUUAUAUCAAGAAUUUCAAGUGAACUGGAGCAACUCAACCUUCAUGGGAAGGACCAUUCCAAAUAUUAUUAACUACUCCAACAUCUAUAAAGAUUGGAGAAAGAGACUCUUGGAUUCACUGCCCACAUGUGAAGAAAGCAUCUUCUGCUGAGACUGAUUGACUCUAUCCUAUCAUAUGAAUUGUGACUCUAUCUUAUCAUAUGAAUUGGAGAUAAUAAUCCAUAGACAGAUGGAUGCUGUUUUUUCAAGAACACAUUGAAUUACUGAUUUUUUUCUUAUUUUUCUUAUUUCUUUUCUUUUCUUUUCUUUUUGAUCAGAAUAUUUGAAUUUUUUCUCAUUUUUUGCACUGAAGGUACACAUAAUUAAUAUUAAUAUUAUUUUUCCCUGAAGUAAUACAAGUUAAUAUAUAUAUAUAUAUACUCUUGCUAUAAUAUCAAUAUAUGCCUAAAAGCUUUAAACUAUGGGAACCUGCCAUUUAUUGAUAAAAUAUUAUAGGACUGUGAUUAAUGUUUGUGUCUGAUUCCAGGAAAAGGGAUAAAAACAAGGAGAACAGACUAAACCUGAAUAGUGCCAAUAGAGCACACAAGAAAUAUUAAAGUGAGACUCGAAGUUGCGAUGCUUAACUUAUGUUUAAGUCGUAGGACUUCCUUGUAUCUACACUCUUUGUGAAGUACUCAAACAAGUACAAAGCUUGAUUAUCAUGUUGGCUCCCUAUAUCCCUGAAAAAAAAAAUCAGACGAGGGAAUGACAUUUCCCCAUCAAAAUAGAAUUCUAAUUCUUUUCUUCUUAUAUUAUGGCAACUUCCUGUAGUCUUGGCUACAACUGGCUAAGUGAAAUAUUACUGCAUUCUGUCCUACAUACUUGUGGGAUAGAAAUUACUUUAAACUGGACCUAUACAAGGCCUAUUUUGAAUUUUUCUUAUGUUUUUGAUUAUUUUUCUAUUCUUUGAUAAUUGACACAUACACCCCCAUAACUGAACAUUGCAUUCUGAGCUAAACUUGAUAUUUUUUUUAAAUACUUACUUCAGGGGGGAUUGUAUUUUAAUUUAAAAUCUAAGAAUUUUUUUUUAUUUUUGAAUUUUUGUUUGUUUGUUUGAGAUUGUAUUUUUAUAAAAACCCAAGAAUUUUGAUUUUUGUUUAAGAUUUUACUGUUGUAAAAAUCAAAGAUUUUGAUUCUGUUCAAGAAAAGAUCUUCAAGAAAAAAUCUUGAAAUUUUUAUAUCCAGAGAAUGAACUGUUGCAGAAAGAUGCCGAAAACCUACACUUCAUCAAGAAGAUCAGGAAUGAACUUUGGAUGUAAUUGAUUGGACUGAACUUUUGAUUGAACAUUUAUUGUAAUUGUACACAUUUAUGGCAAAAGGGACUGCCCCUAAUUUGGCUUUCUGUCAAUGCGCCUAGCAAAACAUUGGUUUUGCUUUCUUUUCUUUUCUAUUUCCUCUCUCACUAUUCUAAUUUCUCUUAGAAAAUUGGAUAUUGUGUAUAUCUAUAGUUAGAAGUGCAUUUAGAACUACAAAAUGAUUAUGUUAAAUGAUCAAUGGGGAGACUGGUCUCCCAAUGAUCAUCAGGGGGGAUUGUAAACCUUAAAAUUUCUUAGACUUGUGAAUGUUGGAAAUUUCACCAUUGGAAUGUGAACCCCAUUGGCAAGGGAGGUUCCUCCUCCUCCCUUCUUAAGAUUACGUUAGGACAGAAACCUUUUGCUGAACAACGGAAAGGGCUGCAGCAUAGAUCAAAAUUUAAUUAUUCCAAUCUCCACCCUACUCAGGGUAACAGGAUUUAGGAAGGGCUGUAGCAAAAGAUCAAGAUUUAAUUAUUUGAGAAUAUGACCUUCAACAGACAUGUGCAAAGCCACAGACCUCUGGGUGUUCCUGGGUUAAGCUAGAGCCACCAUUGGCACAGGGAAGACAUGGACAGUGAUUGGUAGAUGUGAGAACUGAGGGGAGGGAACUUGGAUGGUUUCCUUAAAGAUAGCGGGGUCUGAGGACUAGGUGUUGUUGGUUGGAGAGGUUUUGCUCUGAGAGGUUGUGCUCUGAGAAGCUUGCUCUGAAGGAAGCUGGAGGUGGAGGCCCCUGAGACUGUUUCUCCAUUUUGGUCAUGUGAGUGAUAGGGACUGAUCUCUUUUCUUUGCCUCAGCUAUCUAAGGGCUUGGGCCUUUUGGCCCAGCCUAAACAGAAGGGGUAUUUAAGCCCUAUUCCCUUCUCUCCCCUUUCUCUCUCCCUCUCUCUCUCUCUCUAUCUCUAAUACCUUUCUUCCUCCUGUUUGUAAUUAAACUCCAUAAAAAGUUGACUGCUGACUUGAGUUUUCAUUUAGGAAUUACAUAGCUGAAUUCCUUGGCGACCUUAAA